UAGGGAAUAUUGGUUAAUGGGCGAAAGCCUGACCCAGCAACGCCGCGUGCGCGAUGAAGGCCUUCGGGUUGUAAAGCGCUUUUAAGUGGGAUGAGGAAGGACAGUACCACUAGAAUAAGUCUCGGCUAACUACGUGCCAGCAGCCGCGGUAAUACGUAGGGUGCGAGCGUUAAUCGGAAUUACUGGGCGUAAAGCGUGCGCAGGCGGAUUGUUAAGCAAGAUGUGAAAUCCCCGGGCUUAACCUGGGAAUGGCAUUUUGAACUGGCAAUCUAGAGUGCGUCAGAGGGGGGUGGAAUUCCACGUGUAGCAGUGAAAUGCGUAGAGAUGUGGAGGAACACCAAUGGCGAAGGCAGCCCCCUGGGAUGACACUGACGCUCAUGUACGAAAGCGUGGGUAGCAAACA
Molecule: ribosomal RNA, 403 nt
Filed under: uncultured bacterium
Lineage: Bacteria
Description: bacterial SSU rRNA
Rfam family: Bacterial small subunit ribosomal RNA
Source: RNAcentral